UCAGUGCAUAUUAGAAAUCGAAACAACUCGGACGUUUCUUCUAAUUACUCUGCAUUUGGCAGAGUCCGCACAUUUUGGCGACCGUGACAGGACUCUGCAUUGGGCAAGUCCCACUAUAAAUUCUAUUCACACUUAGCAUCAUUCCCUCUGCAUUCGGCGGAGAAGUAUAUUCCCGCAACGCCAGAAUACUAGGUGUAUUUUCGGCACGCAGUGCAGCUCAUUGGACUACUGUCAGUGCGUUUGGCAUCAUCGUUGGCUCUCCGGAAGCAUCGUUGGAUCACCGGAAUCAUCGCCACUAGGGCGUCGUGGAUGCCUGUAUACAGCUUGGCAAGCGAAGGAACAGCGACACAAAGAAGACGAAAAACUGUAAGAUAGACUCGCAAAUGCAAUCGGGGUUUGUCAUUCCACUUUCAACCAAAAGGCAUUGCCUAUAUAUACACAUACUUGUGCAGCUGGUCUGCAAGUAGAUAAGACAAAAAUUGAGUUACUCUCCCGACCAUCGGAGUGUUUUGUUUUUCCCUCUGAGCAAAAGGGCAUUGCCAACAUAUUUGGAUAAGGUAUUGCUUCACUCAAUAAUUGCUCCACACUUAGUUUUCGCUAAAUAACUCUUCGCAAAAUUACUGAUACUCAACUCGUGUUUUCAAUUAUCAUCACUCGUUUUGGAGCGUCAAAGAUGCACCGGCCAGAAGAUGCAAGUUUCUUCAAUUCAUCAGCAAAUUGCGCAACUGGGCACCAUAAUCGUUUCCCUUCGUUAAGGCUGCCUUCGUUCGACAGGAAGUAUGGUGACUACAUGAAGUUUAUCACUGCCUUUACUAGCAUGGUACAUGAUGACGCUUCAAUAUAAACUGUUGACAAAUUUAACAACCUGCUUAACUGUUUGUCUGGUCCCGCGCUGAGUGUCGUGGCCCCCUUUCAAGUGUCCGAAAUCAAUUAUCCAAAGGUGUUAAGGCAGUUAAAGGAGCGCUACGAUAAAAAGAUUUAAGUUCCGCAUUGAUUGUCGCUUAGUGAAUUAAGGAGGACAUACUGCGAAUAAAACGGCUUUACAACGGCAGUCAGCCUGCGUUACCUUUCUACUUGCUGCUCGAGCAGAGGUACGCAGCUUGUUAAUACUAAAAUUGGUGAUAAACUGUUAG
This is a long non-coding RNA of Drosophila eugracilis, 1133 nucleotides long. RefSeq lists it as uncharacterized. The record is from RefSeq and is a predicted model, not a curated record. Lineage: Eukaryota; Metazoa; Arthropoda; Insecta; Diptera; Drosophilidae. The transcript is spliced from 3 exons.